Molecule: long non-coding RNA, 629 nt
Organism: Dermacentor andersoni
Lineage: Eukaryota; Metazoa; Arthropoda; Arachnida; Ixodida; Ixodidae
Source: RefSeq, a predicted model, not a curated record
UUGUUUUUUUUUCUUUUUCUUUGCCAGCGCAUUUGCAAUCGUUCAUAUGAAAAAUGUGUCGAUAAUUAUUACAGACGCAACAUUACGUAUCACAUCAAGCCUGGACCGACACCUGAUAUAGUGCGCUUCACUGUGGUCGAUGAUAAUGAUUUCGUGCAAGAGGGCCAUUAUAUUUACUCUGACUACAAGAGCUGCGCUGUCGUGGAGUUUCCCUUCGUGGGCAGGCAAGAGUGCAUAUUGUGGACUACGAAGGACGUUUUGGACGAUGUGCCGGAACACUGUAUGGACCAGUACAAGGACAUCUGUGGCGAUGCGGUGAACGUCUACGACGAAGAAAGCUGUGCUGCAUUCGCCCCGUAAUAACGUCAUUUCAUGUGGCAUCGUCAUCAAUUUUACAAGUUUUCAAUGAAGUUCACGAAAGAAGACAAAACAGAAUAACGAAGGAAUACUUCUGGACUGCCUCUAAAAUGGGGCAAAACUGGACAUCACAAAUGCUACAGCCAUAAUAAUAAUUCUUACUAUAAUCAAUCUUUGGCGCUCAGCGAAUGCUUCUGUGAGUUUGAGUUUCAUGCAGACAUCAAUACAAUAGCUACCGCAAACUUCUACAGAGAUAAGCAAAACUUGCAACA